RNAcentral lists this ribosomal RNA (465 nucleotides) under uncultured bacterium. RNAcentral's name for it is "partial 16S ribosomal RNA". It matches the Rfam family "Bacterial small subunit ribosomal RNA", at positions 28 to 507 of the family's 1533-position model. The record is from RNAcentral.
GGCGAACGCUGGCGGCGUGCUUAACACAUGCAAGUCGAACGGAAAGGCCCUGCUUGCAGGGUACUCGAGUGGCGAACGGGGGAGUAACACGUGGGUGAUCUGCCCUGCACUUCGGGAUAAGCCUGGGAAACUGGGUCUAAUACCGGAUAGGAGCCAUUUUUAGUGUGAUGGUUGGAAAGUUGUUUCGGUGUCGGAUGAGCUCGCGGCCUAUCAGCUUGUUGGUGGGGUAAUGGCCUACCAAGGCGGCGACGGGGAGCCGGCCUGAGAGGGUGGACGGCCACAGUGGGACUGAGAUACGGCCCAGACUCCUACGGGAGGCAGCAGUGGGGAAGAUUGCACAAUGGGCGCAAGCCUGAUGCAGCGACGCCGCGUGGGGGAUGACGGCCUUCGGGUUGUAAACUCCUUUCGCUAGGGACGAAGCUUUUUGUGACGGUACCUAGAUAAGAAGCACCGGCUAACUACGUG